AGAGUUCGAUUAUGGCUCAGGACGAACGCUGGCGGCGUGCCUAACACAUGCAAGUCGAACGGGGUUAUAUUUUGGAAGUUUUCGGAUGGAAGAGAUAUAAUCUAGUGGCGAACGGGUGAGUAACGCGUGAGGAACCUGCCUCAAACAGGGGGAUAACACUUGGAAACAGGUGCUAAUACCGCAUAAGACCACAGAGCCGAGUGGCACAGGGGUCAAAGAUUUAUCGGUUUGAGAUGGACUCGCGUCUGAUUAGCUAGUUGGUGAGGUAACGGCCCACCAAGGCGACGAUCAGUAGCCGAGCUGAGAGGCUGAUCGGCCACACUGGGACUGAGACACGGCCCAG
This 343-nucleotide ribosomal RNA is filed under the name uncultured bacterium. RNAcentral describes it as "bacterial SSU rRNA". It matches the Rfam family "Bacterial small subunit ribosomal RNA", at positions 8 to 334 of the family's 1533-position model. The record is from RNAcentral.